RNAcentral lists this ribosomal RNA (497 nucleotides) under uncultured bacterium. RNAcentral's name for it is "partial 16S ribosomal RNA". It matches the Rfam family "Bacterial small subunit ribosomal RNA", at positions 28 to 507 of the family's 1533-position model. The record is from RNAcentral.
GAUGAACGCUGGCGGCGUGCCUAAUACAUGCAAGUCGAGCGAACAGACGAGGAGCUUUCUCCUCUGACGUUGGCGACUGACGGGUGAAUGACACGUGGAUAACCUACCUAUAAGACUUGGAUAACUUCGUGAAACCGGAGCUAAUACCGGAUAAUAUAUUGAACCGCAUGGUUCAAUAGUGAAAGACGGUUUUGCUGUCACUUAUAGAUGGAUCCGCGUCGCAUUAGCUGGUUGGUAAGGUAACGGCUUACCAAGGCAACGAUGCGUAGCCGACCUGAGAGGGUGAUCGGCCACACUGGAACUGAGACACGGUCCAGACUCCUACGGGAGGCAGCAGUAGGGAAUCUUCCGCAAUGGGCGAAAGCCUGACGGAGCAACGCCGCGUGAGUGAUGAAGGUCUUCGGAUCGUAAAACUCUGUUAUUAGGGAAGAACAAAUGUGUAAGUAACUAUGCACGUCUUGACGGUACCUAAUCAGAAAGCCACGGCUAACUACGUG